This 460-nucleotide ribosomal RNA is filed under the name uncultured bacterium. RNAcentral's name for it is "partial 16S ribosomal RNA". It matches the Rfam family "Bacterial small subunit ribosomal RNA", at positions 338 to 795 of the family's 1533-position model. The record is from RNAcentral.
CCUACGGGGGGCAGCAGUGAGGAAUAUUGGUCAAUGGACGAGAGUCUGAACCAGCCAAGUAGCGUGAAGGAUGACUGCCCUAUGGGUUGUAAACUUCUUUUAUAUAGGAAUAAAAUGAGGCACGUGUGCAUUUUUGCAUGUACUUUAUGAAUAAGGAUCGGCUAACUCCGUGCCAGCAGCCGCGGUAAUACGGAGGAUCCGAGCGUUAUCCGGAUUUAUUGGGUUUAAAGGGAGCGUAGGUGGGUUGUUAAGUCAGUUGUGAAAGUUUGCGGCUCAACCGUAAAAUUGCAGUUGAAACUGGCAGUCUUGAGUACAGUAGAGGUAGGCGGAAUUCGUGGUGUAGCGGUGAAAUGCUUAGAUAUCACGAAGAACCCCGAUUGCGAAGGCAGCUUACUAGACUGUAACUGACAUUGAGGCUCGAAAGUGUGGGUAUCAAACAGGAUUAGAUACCCGGGUAGUC